GAAGAACUCCAGUAAAGAUCCAGAACUCGGGCUGUGCUUUUUCAUAAAGAUGUUUUUAAUGGACUUUGCUGCAAUGUUUUCAGUUGAAAGCAUUCCUUCUUGAAAUUUAAUCGUCCAUUACAGACUACUGUCUCUCAGCCCUUUGGAGCACUCACAUCACAUCCAGACCUGCACAAAAUGGGACAAGUUCCAUGAUGUGGACUCUGGCCUCAGGCUAUGUUUCCUGUCAAACAUUCUUCCAGCUUGACUUGCUCAUGCAGAAGUGGUCCGGUGUGGAUGUGAAGGCAUGCUGUUUUCUUGCAGAGCAAACAAGAAGUGGGAAUGUUUUACAGCAUGUAUUCACGUGCAGUUUUGAUUUCCAAGUCCACGUAUUGCUGACAUGUAGCUGCCUUCUCCAGCGCUGUUGUUCUUUGCAAUUGUUCUGCAAAUGCUGCUUUGUGCAAGGCAGGUCUGUGAUGUGAAACCCAUCAAAGAAGCCCCAUGUCCC
Molecule: long non-coding RNA, 487 nt
Filed under: Gallus gallus (chicken)
Lineage: Eukaryota; Metazoa; Chordata; Aves; Galliformes; Phasianidae
Source: RNAcentral